This 376-nucleotide ribosomal RNA is filed under the name uncultured bacterium. RNAcentral describes it as "bacterial SSU rRNA". It matches the Rfam family "Bacterial small subunit ribosomal RNA", at positions 521 to 896 of the family's 1533-position model. The record is from RNAcentral.
UAAUACAGAGAGUGCAAACGUUGUUCGGAAUUACUGGGCUUGAAGCGCACGUAGGCGGCGUCGUAAGUGUCGGGUGAAAUCCCACGGCUCACCCGUGGAACUGCCCGGCAUACUGCGACGCUCGAGUGUGGUAGGGAAGAGCGGAACUCCUGGUGGAGCGGUGAAAUGCGUAGAUAUCAGGAGGAACACCGGUGGCGAAGGCGGCUCUUUGGUCCACAACUGACGCUGAGGUGCGAAAGCCAGGGGAGCAAACGGGAUUAGAUACCCCGGUAGUCCUGGCCGUAAACGAUGGGCACUAGCUUGGGGUCUCCCUGUGUGAUCCCAGGUGAAGCAAAAGUGAUAAGUGCCCCGCCUGGGGAGUAUGGUCGCAAGGCUG